UUCUUUAUGUUUUUUAUAUAAAGUAAUUUCUGCCCAAUGAUUAAUUUAUUUAAAUGGCUGCAGUAUAUUGACUGUACAAAGGUAGCAUAAUAAUUAGUUUUUUAAUUGGAAACUUGAAUGAAUGGAUAAAUGAGAGAUUAACUUUAUUAAUUUUAUUAUUAAAACUUUAUUUUUUAGUCAAAAAGCUAAGGUUUCUUUUAGGGACGAUAAGACCCUAUAGAACUUUUAAUUUAUAUUAAAUGAUUUUUAUUUGGGUUUAUUUUAUUUAUUUUAUAUGAUUUUUUAAUUGGGGUGAUUAAAAAAUUUUAUCUUUUUUUUCUUAAUUCAUUUGUUUAUGUAAUUUUUGAUCCUAAAUUUAGAUUUUAAGAUAAGUUACCUUAGGGAUAACAGCGUAAUUUUAAUGGAAAGUUCAUAUUUAAAUUAGAGUUUGCGACCUCGAUGUUGAAUUAAGAUAAGUCUAUGGUGAAGAAGUUUUAGAUUUAAGUCUGUUCGACUUUAAUUUCUUACA
Molecule: ribosomal RNA, 508 nt
Filed under: Olidiana brevisina
Lineage: Eukaryota; Metazoa; Arthropoda; Insecta; Hemiptera; Cicadellidae
Description: partial large subunit ribosomal RNA
Source: RNAcentral